This 253-nucleotide ribosomal RNA is filed under the name uncultured bacterium. RNAcentral describes it as "partial 16S ribosomal RNA". It matches the Rfam family "Bacterial small subunit ribosomal RNA", at positions 524 to 776 of the family's 1533-position model. The record is from RNAcentral.
UACGUAGGGUGCAAGCGUUAAUCGGAAUUACUGGGCGUAAAGCGUGCGCAGGCGGCUUUGCAAGACAGAUGUGAAAUCCCCGGGCUCAACCUGGGAACUGCAUUUGUGACUGCAUGGCUGGAGUGCGGCAGAGGGGGAUGGAAUUCCGCGUGUAGCAGUGAAAUGCGUAGAUACGCGGAGGAACACCGAUGGCGAAGGCAAUCCCCUGGGCCUGCACUGACGCUCAUGCACGAAAGCGUGGGGAGCAAACAGG